Molecule: long non-coding RNA, 1276 nt
Organism: Dermacentor andersoni
Lineage: Eukaryota; Metazoa; Arthropoda; Arachnida; Ixodida; Ixodidae
Source: RefSeq, a predicted model, not a curated record
GUUCUCCGGAAGAAAUUCCGGAAACAAUCUCCCACCGGAACUCAAAGAAGUCUUACGCGGACUACCCUUCCUCGUGUACGGACACAAAAAGGGCACCGCUCCUCGGAAACAGCAGAUUCCCACUGUUCGCACUCGACUCGAGCUUGGAGAUCCGGAGAUGGUGAAACGGGUCAUUUUAUGGAAACGACGCAGCCACCCGAAGAAAAGAAUCCCAUCGACGUGGAGCUUCGUCGUCGGCUGUGAACAUCACUUGCACUCAGAAGAGGAAGAAAAGGUCGGAGAUCGACUUUCUUGGGUCGAACUCACAUGGACCAUACAAACGACUGCAGUCGAGAGAUCCUCAAAAGAAAAGAUAAAGAUAGAGAACCCCUGGCAAACACUCUGAAUGAUGACGGCUGCUCGGAAUUCGCUACUUGAGCCGUCUUGGUGUCAUCUGGCGUCAACGGGUCGAUUGUGGUCGAUGUUCGCUUUGCUCGGACUAUCCUCACUCUGACUUAUCCGAUAGUGCCAGGCUCUACAUUGUCACCACUGAAGCUGCUUCUCAUCGUUGCUCUGGUAUGCGCAAGUAUAGACACUAAAGUGUGCGAUCACCAAAUACUAGAUAGGAAGUUAGCGUUCAUUCGUCUUCAUUAUGGUACUUCUGUCAUUUGAUCUAUCUUAUAUUUUCCAAAGGCUGCUGAUAUGUGGAAGUUAAAACCCGGACGGGAGGUAAAAGCUUAUUCGAUGGCAAGAAGAUAGGCUUGUUAUCGUUCUUAAUAUGUUUUUAGAGUAGAAAAUUAAGGGUAAACAUUUUUGCCCCAUACGUCCGUUUUUACUGCUAAUUUCGAAGCCUUGUAAUCGCAUUAUUAAAAGAACCCAUACUACAUGACUGGAAGUUUAAGUUAUGGUGCUUGCAUCGAUAUUUUCAAACACCAUGUGGUCUAUAUAGCUCCUCCUCUUUUUCUCUCUCGUUUCUGACUGCAGCCGUUGAGCUCCUUGAUUUCCAUGUGCAAGCGUCGGCGCAUUAUGAAAAAAUGGCGCGAGGAAAUUACAGAACUUCUUUUUGCAUGAGCAAACAUAUGCGUCGAGCUUCGGAAAAACAUUGGCUGUCAUAACAUGCAGGCAGGCACGCCAGUCACAUAGCACCACCAGGUGGGGAAAAAGGAGGAAGGCGAACAGUUUAAUUCCCCUAGUGGCGCAAUUUCAGUGCGUCAGGAGCUGAUCACCUAGCACUGCGAUAAGCUCAGCGAGGAGGCUGCGAAUCAAUACUUCCUUGUGUCCUGACAAACUUUUUCGA